RNAcentral lists this ribosomal RNA (402 nucleotides) under bacterium. Its description in RNAcentral is "partial 16S ribosomal RNA". It matches the Rfam family "Bacterial small subunit ribosomal RNA", at positions 355 to 776 of the family's 1533-position model. The record is from RNAcentral.
UGGGGAAUUUUGCACAAUGGGGGAAACCCUGAUGCAGCGACGCCGCGUGAUUUAGAAGGCCUUCGGGUUGUAAAAAUCUUUUCUAUGGGAAGAAAAUGACAGUACCAUAGGAAUAAGGACCGGCUAAUUACGUGCCAGCAGCCACGGUAAUACGUAAGGUCCGAGCGUUGUCCGGAAUCAUUGGGCGUAAAGGGUACGUAGGCGGGUAAGCAAGUUAGAAGUGAAAUCCUAUAACUCAACUAUAGUAAGCUUUUAAAACUGCUCAUCUUGAGGUAUGGAAGGGAAAGUGGAAUUCCUAGUGUAGCGGUGAAAUGCGCAGAUAUUAGGAGGAAUACCGGUGGCGAAGGCGACUUUCUGGCCAUAACCUGACGCUGAGGUACGAAAGCGUGGGUAGCAAACAGG